This 1619-nucleotide long non-coding RNA is filed under the name Homo sapiens (human). RNAcentral describes it as "HSALNT0178556". The record is from RNAcentral. Lineage: Eukaryota; Metazoa; Chordata; Mammalia; Primates; Hominidae.
AUAUGUUACCAGUUAAAGGUGUCCAGGUUCUUGGCGUCUUGAACAAAGAAUUGGACAAAACACACAAACAAAGCAAGGAAAGAAUGAAGCAACAAACACAGAGAUUUAUUGAAAAUGAAAGUAUACCCCAUAGGGGCGUCGAGCAUAGGGGCUCAAGAGCCCCAUUACAGAGUAUUCUGGGUUGAAAUAUACUCUAGAGGUUUCCAUUGGUUACUUGGUGUAUGCCCUAUGUAAAUGAAGAGGAUAUUUCCUGUCGUAGCUGAAGUGUUUCCAUUUGAUUUAGUUCUAGGAAGUCCAGCGUGGAUCGGCCUUAGGUUCUCUGCCUCCUGCCUCAGAAGAACAGAGGAGCGUCAGGGACCCAAAAUACCCCUGUGGCUGCCCUCAUGCUGGCCCUUAGCAAUCAAAGAAAUACAGAUUUAAAUACUAAGGAUUUUGUUUUGUUUUAUAUCUAGGAGGAGGUCCCUAGUUUGGAGAACAGGCUGUUUCAUACCCAGCUUGAGACACAGCAUUGGCACAAACCUUGCUGAGGAGCAAUUUGGCAAUAUGUUCCCUAUGCCCUAAAAAUUGCCUCAGUAAUUUCACUUCUGUAAUACUCUUCUUAGGAAACAAUUAUAGAGACCAUCAAACCAGAUGAUCAUGUGGCAAGUGUUCCAGCCAGUUCCAGAUGAAGACACCACCCCCUGAAGAAGCUACCCUAUUUCCACUAGACAGAGGAGGGCGAGAAUUCCAUGAUUCCAUGAUUCCCAAUAUGUAAGGACUACACCUCAAUCAGCAUGAGGCAAUUACAGAAGAAAGACCAUUGGUCCCUCUGCCUCCCAUAAAGAUUUAUGGGGAUCACAUCUCUCAGGGAAAAAUGAGGCAGGAGAAUAGGGUCUGGAGGCAGGGAUCAUAAGGCUGAUUCACACUGACUUCCUAGAACUAAAUCAAAAGGAAAACCCCAACUUUCCACACCUAAGUAACAAAAGGACUGGAGGCUACUCCCUUUGCAAACCACCCCCUGCCGCCCUUUUUCUACAUGGUAGAUGGAAAAUUUAAAGUAUCUCUAAUUGGUUGCAGGUUGCAGAAAGCAACCAAUCAGAGGCUUGCAUAGGAGUGUAACUUUGUAACUUCAGCCUCUGAUUGGUUGCUUUUCACAACCAAUCAGACACUUGCAUAAGUGUAACCUUUGUAACUUCAGCCUCUGACUGGUUGCUUUCCUAAACCAAACAGACUAAUUGCGGGCCAUACUUCACUUACAUAGCGUGUACACCAAGUAGUAACCAAUGGGAAACCUCUAGAUGGUAUUUAAAUCCCAGAAAAUUCUGUAAUGGGGGUCUUGAGCUCCUAUGCUCCGGCCGCUCCCACCCUGUGGAGUGUACUUUGAUUUUCAAUAAAUCUCUGCUUUUGUUGCUUCAUUCUUUCCUUGUUUUGUUUGUGUGUUUUCUUCAAUUCUUUGUUCAAAACACCAAGAACCUGUACACCCUACACCAGUAACACAUGCUAUGGUCAAUAUCUACAAUUUCUGUCUCCAAGUAUGCAAGCACUACUUUGAACCGCAUACACUAACAACUUGGUGUUCUGGGUCAUUAGUUGCAAAUCGACAGGUUCUGUUUUAGUCACAAAAUCAAGUUUCAUCACCG